CUAGUAACUAACAUUUCAAGAAAAAAUACAUAAUAAAAAUGUACAUAACUUAUCUGAACUAUAUACCAUUUUGAGUUAGUUAUCUAAUCUUUUGAAAUUUUAAUUUUACUAUCAAACAUUUUCAAUUUACUUGAUUUAAGUCAAUCAAUAACAGUAAAACUUCAAAAUUGAGCAUGUCUUUUAUUUUUUAUCAGUUUAGUUAGUGUACUCAUACAAUUUUCGCAAUUAUAAAUUUACUAAAGUAAAUAAUUAUAUAACUUAAAUUUUAAAAUAAUGAUAAAUGCUAAAUUUUGACAUCUGUAUUCGUAUUCUAUCAAAUUCGAUGUCGAAUUU
RNAcentral lists this long non-coding RNA (333 nucleotides) under Ananas comosus (pineapple). Its description in RNAcentral is "long non-coding RNA (ACOM_LNC031799)". The record is from RNAcentral. Lineage: Eukaryota; Viridiplantae; Streptophyta; Magnoliopsida; Poales; Bromeliaceae.